Molecule: long non-coding RNA, 2046 nt
Organism: Falco peregrinus (peregrine falcon)
Lineage: Eukaryota; Metazoa; Chordata; Aves; Falconiformes; Falconidae
Exons: 2
Source: RefSeq, a predicted model, not a curated record
AUGCGUAAGAGGGGGCGCGGAGCGCGGGCGAGCCCUCGCCUUGCCGACUGUGCCCACAGCCGCGGCCGUGCCUGCAGGGGCCGGGCCCCAGCCGCCAGGGGCUGCCCGUGCUCGGGCCGUGCUGCGGGCGGGCUGGGCACGCCUUGGUAAAAGCAGUGAAAGUUUCACCCUGCGGGGCCGAGCUGUCGAGGAGGCAACGCAGGAGAGUUGGUUGUGCCCAUUGGUAAAGGGCCGGGUGGGGAGCAGGGCUGCUGUGCAGGUGGCGGCCAAGGGUGAGGUAUGGCAGCUGGGGCAGGAGCCUACUGCUGGCCUGCCCAGCCCAGCCCCCGCUGCCCACCUUCCGUCUGCCUAGCCCAGACCCCGCUGCCGACCCUCUGCCCAGCCCAGACCCCGCUGCCGACCCUCUGCCCAGCCCAAACGCUGCAAUUGCACAGAACCACUCUUCGACGCGGUCUCUGUGGCCCAACUCUGCUCCCUCUCAGCCCUGCUACCCCUGGGGGAAAUGGCGGGUUUUGCCCCUGUGGAUUUGCUUUCGCCUGCAUCCACUCAAGAGAUUUCGAUGCACCAGAACCUGAUCUCAUCAUGGGUUACCACAUGUUUUACAGCAGUGAUUUUUUUCCUAUUUAUUGAACCAAACGACAGUUUUUUCUCCUGCUGGUGCUGGAUGGAUAUUGUGAAAAAACAUGUAGACUUUAAUUCUAGUCUUCAAACUCAUAUGAAUGUGCUCAGUCCUGGGAUGUCGCUGAUAAAAUAUAUUUUAUAUAUCAUGCAUAUGUAACAUAAAAUGACAGAAUAAUCAAACAUUUGCAAGAUUGAAUACUUCCAUAAAUAUUUUCUUCCUUCAUAUUUCUUGUGAUCUUUGGAAAAAGUAACAAAUGUUCAUACAGACUUUACAGCUACCCUAGACAGUGGUGGUGAAUAAUUUGGUAGACUAUUUUGUCAUUUAUCUGUCUAAACUAAUUUUUCUCUUCACACAAUACCAGCUUUUCUCAAGUAAUUCUUAGGUCAUCUUCCCUGGAGGCCAAACAUACUUCUCUUUCAGUGUUUAAUUUUUUGAUCUGCCAUCACUUGUUGAAAGAUGUUUUUAACAAAAUGAAAAUGAGACUGGGUCUGUUUGUUGUCUGUUAAUGGGUAGAAGCAAAACUCUGACUUUUCUGCUGGCACAGGCAUCAUGGUGUAUGGUAUGGGCCAACCGCUCCUACUAAUGAAUCUAUACAGCAGUCCUUGGCCUAGAAGUUCAAUACAAAACUAAGAGAGGAUGGUCUCAAGCUGUAACAGAAAAAAUAAGAGAACAUAGACCAUCAGUAGUUCCUUCCUGCUGAUUUGGGGGAUGAAAGACCAGGGGAAGUUAAGAGUGCCUGAAGAGUUGGUAUGCCUGGGACCGUAUAGUUUGAAUACCAUCCAUGUUCACAGCUUCCUCAGACUAAAAUCAAAGGACUAAGCAGGAGAUUACUCCUGUUCAGUGAAUGCGUUGUCAAAUGAUAUAAUGCAAUAGUGAAAAAUGCCAGCAAUUACAAAGACUCGCUAGGUACUUUGACUGUGCUAAGCAGAGAAAUGAAAGUAUCAUAGUCCUCAUUAUAUGCUUUCCAUUUGGGAAUGGAUGUAGAAGCAUAUUUUCAUUUUAGGAAGUUAAAAAGGUGAAACGAAAUCUUGUAUGAUUUAGGUAUAUUUUGCUUAUUCUUAUCUCCCUGAGAAUAAUAGCAAAAUAAUAGCUUUGAUCAUGUCAUUUUUCUUCUCCCCCCCCCAAGCUAUGAUACUGCUGGCUUAAUAAUAACUUCUUUGCUUAUAUUUUUCUUGAACCUCUUGAGCUGGAGAUGUUCUGGUUUUGAUUUGUGCAUCUUUCAAUUGUGUAAUUUAGUGCCAAAAUAUAGUAUACUUUAACAGCCUUCCUAUCUAUGAAUUUGUAAAUGGAGCCUACAAAUUUGUGCAAGUAAUGGAAAAUGCAGACAGUAAUGUGAGACUUCUAUUUUGCAAACCAGCAGAUUGUUCUUGGAACACAGUUACUCUGAGACCUUGAUCAAUAAAGAAUGCAUUGUAAGAUUCUAA